CACAAGGGGUGAAGCCUGCGGUUCAAUUGGAGUCAACGCCGGAAAUCUUACCGGGGGCGACAGCAGAGUGAAGGUCAAGCUGAAGACUUUACCAGACAAGCUGAGAGGAGGUGCAUGGCCGUCGCCAGCUCGUGCCGUGAGGUGUCCUGUUAAGUCAGGUAACGAGCGAGAUCCCUAUCUCUAGUUGCUACUGCUGCUCUCAGGAGUAGUAGAGCUAAUUAGAGGGACCGCCGCCGCUGAGGCGGAGGAAGGAGGGGGCUNCGNCAGGUCAGUAUGCCCCGAAACCCUCGGGCCACACGCGGGCUGCAAUGGUAAGGACAAUGGGUUCCUAUUCCGAAAGGAGGAGGCAAUCCCCAAACCUUACCCCAGUUAUGAUUGAGGGCUGAAACUCGCCCUCAUGAAUAUGGAAUCCCUAGUAACCGCGUGUCAUCAUCGCGCGGUGAAUACGUCCCUGCUCC
RNAcentral lists this ribosomal RNA (458 nucleotides) under uncultured archaeon. RNAcentral's name for it is "bacterial SSU rRNA". It matches the Rfam family "Archaeal small subunit ribosomal RNA", at positions 880 to 1336 of the family's 1478-position model. The record is from RNAcentral.